Molecule: microRNA precursor, 84 nt
Filed under: Otolemur garnettii (small-eared galago)
Lineage: Eukaryota; Metazoa; Chordata; Mammalia; Primates; Galagidae
Description: miRNA (ENSOGAG00000029358.1)
Source: RNAcentral
GGUAAGGAAUCCUGCAGCAACCACGAGACAACUUUCAACUCCAUCAUGAAGUGUGACGUGGACAUCUGCAAGGACCUGUAUGCC